UAGGGAAUCUUCCACAAUGGACGAAAGUCUGAUGGAGCAACGCCGCGUGAGUGAAGAAGGGUUUCGGCUCGUAAAGCUCUGUUGUUAAAGAAGAACACGUAUGAGAGUAACUGUUCAUACGUUGACGGUAUUUAACCAGAAAGUCACGGCUAACUACGUGCCAA
RNAcentral lists this ribosomal RNA (164 nucleotides) under uncultured bacterium. RNAcentral's name for it is "partial 16S ribosomal RNA". It matches the Rfam family "Bacterial small subunit ribosomal RNA", at positions 355 to 511 of the family's 1533-position model. The record is from RNAcentral.